This 682-nucleotide long non-coding RNA is filed under the name Capsicum annuum. RNAcentral describes it as "long non-coding RNA (CANN_LNC019852)". The record is from RNAcentral. Lineage: Eukaryota; Viridiplantae; Streptophyta; Magnoliopsida; Solanales; Solanaceae.
AAAAUUCCAUAUUCAUAAAUUGUUUUUAAUUCAACUUUAGGAAUAGUCCAUUUAUUCAGUAGAUCCAUAUCUUGAGGUAAAUCUACCUCUUCGAGUUUUGUAUUUUUUGUACUUACUUCUCCCAUAUCCAUAGUUGGAAGAGUCUUAUAUCUAUGCUAAAAAGCUUCACCUCACUUAACAUAUUUACUAUGAAAAUUCACAGGCUCUGAUACCAUUUACAGGAUCUAUUAGGCUGGGGUAUGCCACUCAGCCUACCAGACCAUAUAAUAAUAUCGGAUUAAGCCAAAGUCGGAAGACCGAACCAAAGCACCAACCGAAAUAGGAAAGAAUCUAAAGUAAUUUUAUGACUGUAUGGACGAUUCUUUUACCCAAACAUGGGGCCUGUCAGAGAUUUAAUAACCUUAUGUUGAACCUUUGUGUCUAGAAGUUCUAAUUGUGCGGAAAUUCGCCCUUUUCUCAUCAUCAAUACGGGCUAGAGAAGCACAACUUACUAGACGGUGUCACAGAGACAAGGUUAACAUAAGUCUAUUGAACUCGACUGUACCUCCAUUUUGGAACCAAGUCAAGAAAUUAAAAAGAUUCUUUCAUAUUUUGAUAGAGUCUGGAGCUUUCAUAGUUAACAUGUCAGCGAAGUUAGAUCUUCAGCAUAGAUAUAAGAUACUGUUCAGCCGGACAUAGUCAC